CAACCUUGGGAGAUGGGUGUUUUUGCUCCCAAGUUUCUGACUAGGUCAACAGCUGCAAUGCCACGCUGGAAUUUUAAUCCAGCAAUGAAAAGGAAAAACAGGGAAGAUAAAAGCACAGCUAAAAUACAACCCUGAUGAGCUGCCACCAUUGCAAUCACCAUGAAACCGCAGUUCAGGGCUGUUAGAGACCAAGAAGACUGAAAAUGGUUUUGAUGACUAGUACUGCUCUUCUGAAAAGAAACAGUGAACGCUGGAGUCGAAUGUGA
Artibeus jamaicensis (Jamaican fruit-eating bat) is the source of this 266-nucleotide long non-coding RNA. RefSeq lists it as uncharacterized. NCBI's taxonomy places the organism in Eukaryota, Metazoa, Chordata, Mammalia, Chiroptera, Phyllostomidae. The record is from RefSeq and is a predicted model, not a curated record. The transcript has 3 exons.